GAUCAUGGCUCAGAUUGAACGCUGGCGGCAUGCCUUACACAUGCAAGUCGAACGGCAGCGGGCCUUCGGGUGCCGGCGAGUGGCGAACGGGUGAGUAAUGCAUCGGAACGUGCCAUUGAGUGGGGGAUAACGUAGCGAAAGUUGCGCUAAUACCGCAUAUUCUGUGAGCAGGAAAGCAGGGGACCGCAAGGCCUUGCGCUCUUUGAGCGGCCGAUGUCAGAUUAGCUAGUUGGUGAGGUAAAGGCUUACCAAGGCGACGAUCUGUAGCGGGUCUGAGAGGAUGAUCCGCCACACUGGAACUGAGACACGGUCCAGACUCCUACGGGAGGCAGCAGUGGGGAAUUUUGGACAAUGGGGCAACCCUGAUCCAGCCAUGCCGCGUGAGUGAAGAAGGCCUUCGGGUUGUAAAGCUCUUUCGGCCGGGAAGAAGUCGCAUGGGUGAAUACCCUGUGUGGAUGACGGUACCGGAACAAGAAGCACCGGCUAACUACGUG
This 494-nucleotide ribosomal RNA is filed under the name uncultured bacterium. RNAcentral describes it as "bacterial SSU rRNA". It matches the Rfam family "Bacterial small subunit ribosomal RNA", at positions 15 to 507 of the family's 1533-position model. The record is from RNAcentral.